UACAGAGGGUGCAAACGUUGUUCGGAAUUACUGGGCGUAAAGCGCGUGUAGGCGGCUUUGCAAGUCGGGUGUGAAAGCCCUCAGCUUAACUGAGGAAGUGCGCCCGAAACUGCAGAGCUUGAGUACCGGAGAGGAUGGCGGAAUUCCCCAAGUAGAGGUGAAGUUCGUAGAUAUGGGGAGGAACACCGGUGGCGAAGGCGGCCAUCUGGACGGAUACUGACGCUGAGACGCGAAAGCGUGGGUAGCAAACAGG
This 253-nucleotide ribosomal RNA is filed under the name uncultured bacterium. RNAcentral describes it as "partial 16S ribosomal RNA". It matches the Rfam family "Bacterial small subunit ribosomal RNA", at positions 524 to 776 of the family's 1533-position model. The record is from RNAcentral.